Molecule: unclassified non-coding RNA, 230 nt
Filed under: uncultured Inocybe
Lineage: Eukaryota; Fungi; Basidiomycota; Agaricomycetes; Agaricales; Cortinariaceae
Description: sequence contains ITS1
Source: RNAcentral
UCGAAUAAACUUGCACAGGUUGUUGCUGGCUCUCCGGGGCAUGUGCACGCCUGUCAUCUUUAUUUCUCCAACUGUGCACAUAUUGUAGACCUGGAGUUUUUGUUCUGAAAUCAUUUUCGAGUUGGGACUGCUGUGCUUCAUUCAGUUGAAGUGGGCUUUUCCUUACAUUUCUGGGUCUAUGUCAUUUCACAACCUCAUUUAGAAUGUCGAACCUAUAAAAGUUAAAUAUA